GCCGCGAUGGCGAAAUUGGUAGACGCACUAGCCUUAGGAGCUAGCGGGGCAACCCAUGAGAGUUCGAGUCUCUCUCGCGGCA
Molecule: transfer RNA, 82 nt
Filed under: Candidatus Moraniibacteriota bacterium
Lineage: Bacteria; Candidatus Moraniibacteriota
Description: tRNA-Leu
Rfam family: tRNA
About the family: Transfer RNA (tRNA) molecules are approximately 80 nucleotides in length. Their secondary structure includes four short double-helical elements and three loops (D, anti-codon, and T loops).
Source: RNAcentral